Molecule: long non-coding RNA, 460 nt
Organism: Cucurbita maxima (winter squash)
Lineage: Eukaryota; Viridiplantae; Streptophyta; Magnoliopsida; Cucurbitales; Cucurbitaceae
Exons: 2
Source: RefSeq, a predicted model, not a curated record
AACACCCGUAGCCCGCGCGCCCGAGACAGCAACCCAAACUCGCACCCCUCAGUGACACGUGUCACUAAUACAUACGCCGACUCCUUUGACUCCAGUGGCUCAGCUUCACGAAGUCCCCAGCUAAAAAAAAUAGCUUAUUCGGCUCAGGUUGGCAAUUUUGACACCGAUCCUUCAGCUUUUUACCCUUUUCCAGCUGAUUUUGUCCCUAAUUAAGGAAAUGACUCACGGCGAUACUUAGAACAACUACAAGAAAUGGAAGACAAGCGUACUCGUAUUUUGAAAAAUGUGGGCUAAGGUCAACUAAGUAAGUCGUUUUACUAUCGGAUAGGUUGGAAGACUUGUUUGAUGUAUGACGACACGUGCUUAGUGGCCCAUAUAUGUGUCAUUUAUGCUUUAUAUUUAUAUUAUUGUGACUAUAUUAUAUGAUAAUGAUGUAGGAGGUAUGACGUAUGAUCUAUGA